Molecule: ribosomal RNA, 237 nt
Filed under: Glomeromycotina sp.
Lineage: Eukaryota; Fungi; Glomeromycota
Description: partial small subunit ribosomal RNA
Rfam family: Eukaryotic small subunit ribosomal RNA (bases 40-237)
Source: RNAcentral
GGGUCAGUAGGUUGGUCGUGCCACCGGUACGUACUGGUCUCACUGAUUCCUCCUUCCUGAAGAACCGUAAUGCCAUUAAUUUGGUGUUGCGGGGAAACAGGACUGUUACUUUGAAAAAAUUAGAGUGUUUAAAGCAAACUAACGCUUGAAUACAUUAGCAUGGAAUAAUGAAAUAGGACGAUCGAUCCUAUUUUGUUGGUUUCUAGGAUUGACGUAAUGUUAAUAGGGAUAGUUGGG